RNAcentral lists this ribosomal RNA (229 nucleotides) under uncultured bacterium. Its description in RNAcentral is "partial 16S ribosomal RNA". It matches the Rfam family "Bacterial small subunit ribosomal RNA", at positions 109 to 339 of the family's 1533-position model. The record is from RNAcentral.
AGUAAUAUAUAGUUAAUGUACCUUCAAGACCGGGAUAGCCAUUGGAAACGAUGAUUAAUACUGGAUAUACCUUCUCUACUUAAGUAGAGUCGGGAAACGUUUUUUCGCUUGAAGAUCAGACUAUAUCCCAUCAGUUUGUUGGUGAGGUAAGAGCUCACCAAGGCAAUGACGGGUAGCGGGUUUGAGAGGAUGAUCCGCCACACUGGUACUGAGACACGGACCAGACUCC